UUGCGGACAGUGUCUGGUGGGUAGUUUGACUGGGGCGGUCUCCUCCUAAAGAGUAACGGAGGAGCACGAAGGUUGGCUAAUCCUGGUCGGACAUCAGGAGGUUAGUGCAAUGGCAUAAGCCAGCUUGACUGCGAGCGUGACGGCGCGAGCAGGUGCGAAAGCAGGUCAUAGUGAUCCGGUGGUUCUGAAUGGAAGGGCCAUCGCUCAACGGAUAAAAGGUACUCCGGGGAUAACAGGCUGAUACCGCCCAAGAGUUCAUAUCGACGGCGGUGUUUGGCACCUCGAUGUCGGCUCAUCACAUCCUGGGGCUGAAGUAGGUCCCAAGGGUAUGGCUGUUCGCCAUUUAAAGUGGUACGCGAGCUGGGUUUAGAACGUCGUGAGACAGUUCGGUCCCUAUCUGCCGUGGGCGCUGGAGAACUGAGGGGGGCUGCUCCUAGUACGAGAGGACCGGAGUGGACGCAUCACUGGUGUUCGGGUUGUCAUGCCAAUGGCACUGCCCGGUAGCUAAAUGCGGAAGAGAUAAGUGCUGAAAGCAUCUAAGCACGAAACUUGCCCCGAGAUGAGUUCUCCCUGAGACUUUAGGUCUCCUGAAGGAACGUUGAAGACGACGACGUUGAUAGGCCGGGUGUGUAA
This 633-nucleotide ribosomal RNA is filed under the name Salmonella enterica subsp. enterica serovar Newport. RNAcentral describes it as "partial 23S ribosomal RNA". It matches the Rfam family "Bacterial large subunit ribosomal RNA", at positions 2245 to 2872 of the family's 2925-position model. Lineage: Bacteria; Pseudomonadati; Pseudomonadota; Gammaproteobacteria; Enterobacterales; Enterobacteriaceae. The record is from RNAcentral.